RNAcentral lists this ribosomal RNA (492 nucleotides) under uncultured bacterium. Its description in RNAcentral is "partial 16S ribosomal RNA". It matches the Rfam family "Bacterial small subunit ribosomal RNA", at positions 29 to 507 of the family's 1533-position model. The record is from RNAcentral.
AGUGAACGCUGGCGGUAGGCCUAACACAUGCAAGUCGAACGGCAGCACAGUAAGAGCUUGCUCUUACGGGUGGCGAGUGGCGGGCGGGUGAGGAAUACAUCGGAAUCUACUUUUUCGUGGGGGAUAACGUAGGGAAACUUACGCUAAUACCGCAUACGACCUACGGGUGAAAGCAGGGGAUCUUCGGACCUUGCGCGAGUGAAUGAGCCGAUGUCGGAUUAGCUAGUUGGCGGGGUAAAGGCCCACCAAGGCGACGAUCCGUAGCUGGUCUGAGAGGAUGAUCAGCCACACUGGAACUGAGACACGGUCCAGACUCCUACGGGAGGCAGCAGUGGGGAAUAUUGGACAAUGGGCGCAAGCCUGAUCCAGCCAUACCGCGUGGGUGAAGAAGGCCUUCGGGUUGUAAAGCCCUUUUGUUGGGAAAGAAAAGCAGCAGGUUAAUACCCCGCUGUUCUGACGGUACCCAAAGAAUAAGCACCGGCUAACUUCGUG